Molecule: ribosomal RNA, 497 nt
Filed under: uncultured Glomeromycotina
Lineage: Eukaryota; Fungi; Glomeromycota
Description: partial small subunit ribosomal RNA
Rfam family: Eukaryotic small subunit ribosomal RNA
Source: RNAcentral
CCAAUAGCGUAUAUUAAAGUUGUUGCAGUUAAAAAGCUCGUAGUUGAACUUCAGGCCUGGCUGGACGGUCCGCCCUCUGGGUGAGCACUGUCUGUGGUCGGGUCCUACCUUCUGGCGAAGCGGCAUGGCCUUAACCGGCCGUGGCGGGGAACCAGGACUUUUACUGUGAAAAAAUUAGAGUGUUCAAAGCAGGCACGCGCUUGAAUACAUUAGCAUGGAAUAAUGGAAUAGGACAAUGGUUCUAUUUGUUGGUUUCUAGGACCGUUGUAAUGAUUAAUAGGGAUAGUUGGGGGCAUUAGUAUUCAAUUGUCAGAGGUGAAAUUCUUGGAUUUAUUGAAGACUAACUACUGCGAAAGCAUUUGCCAAGGAUGUUUUCAUUAAUCAAGAACGAAAGUUAGGGGAUCGAAGACGAUCAGAUACCGUCGUAGUCUUAACCAUAAACUAUGCCGACUAGGAAUCGGGCGAUGUUGACAAAAUGACGCGCUCGGCACCUCAUG